This 301-nucleotide ribosomal RNA is filed under the name uncultured bacterium. RNAcentral describes it as "partial 16S ribosomal RNA". It matches the Rfam family "Bacterial small subunit ribosomal RNA", at positions 509 to 807 of the family's 1533-position model. The record is from RNAcentral.
CAGCCGCCGCGGUAAUACGAAGGGGGCUAGCGUUGUUCGGAUUUACUGGGCGUAAAGGGCGCGUAGGCGGGCGAAUAAGUCAGGGGUGAAAUCCCAAGGCUCAACCUUGGAACUGCCUUUGAUACUGUUUGUCUUGAGUCCGGGAGAGGUGAGUGGAACUGCGAGUGUAGAGGUGAAAUUCGUAGAUAUUCGCAAGAACACCAGUGGCGAAGGCGGCUCACUGGCCCGGAACUGACGCUGAGGCGCGAAAGCGUGGGGAGCAAACAGGAUUAGAUACCCCUGUAGUCCCUGUCUCUUAUAC